RNAcentral lists this long non-coding RNA (83 nucleotides) under Phlebotomus papatasi. RNAcentral's name for it is "sphinx_ conserved region 1". It matches the Rfam family "Sphinx_ conserved region 1", at positions 7 to 89 of the family's 100-position model. Lineage: Eukaryota; Metazoa; Arthropoda; Insecta; Diptera; Psychodidae. The record is from RNAcentral.
UGGGUUUUGGAGACUACCCAGCCGAGUAUAAUCCCAAAGUCCAUGGUCCUUAUGAUCCAGCACGGUUCUAUGGCAAGCGUAAG